Molecule: ribosomal RNA, 468 nt
Filed under: uncultured bacterium
Lineage: Bacteria
Description: partial 16S ribosomal RNA
Rfam family: Bacterial small subunit ribosomal RNA
Source: RNAcentral
GACGAACGCUGGCGGCGUGCUUAACACAUGCAAGUCGAACGGAAAGGCCCUGCUUUUGUGGUGUUCUCGAGUGGCGAACGCGUGCGUAACACGUGAGUAUCCUGCCCUUGACUUUGGUAUAACUUCAGGAAACUGGAGCUACUCCAGUAUAGCAUCCCCUGCUGCAUUGUGGGCGUUGGAACUUUUCGCCGGUUGGGGUUGGAUUCGCGGCUUACGGGCUUGUUGGUGGGGUAGUGGCGUACCAAGGCUUUGACGGGUCGACGGCCGGUGAGGGUGACCGGCAACAUUGGGACUGAGGUACGGCCCAGACUCCUACGGGAGGCAGCAGUGGGGAAUAUUGCACAAUGGGCGGAAGCCUGAUGCAGCAACGCCGCGUGCGGGAUGACGGCCUUCGGGUUGUAAACCGCUUUCGCCUGUGACGAAGCGGGAGUGACGGUAAUGGGUAAAGAAGCACCGGCUAACUACGUG